RNAcentral lists this ribosomal RNA (113 nucleotides) under Propithecus coquereli (Coquerel's sifaka). The record is from RNAcentral. Lineage: Eukaryota; Metazoa; Chordata; Mammalia; Primates; Indriidae.
UCUGUAGAUCACUUUAGGCCUGAACGCGCCCGAUCUCGUCUGAUCUCAGAAGCUAAGCAGGGUCGGGCCUGGUUAGUACUUGGAUGGGUGCAAGCUCUAUCUUGUUCACAGAU